CCUCUAAGCUCUCUGCCUGUCUCUUUAUCUCUUCUUCUCUCUUAUUAGACUUCUUAGUGGAUGUCGCGAGACAUCAAAUUCCGACGAGCUUUCAUCCAUUUUACUAUGAGUGACAUCAUAUUCCGGCAACUGAAUAAUUUCGAGAAAUUAAUUCAAUGUUCAUUUUCUGACUGAAUUAUAAGUUGAAGAGGAGAAGUUGCGUCAUGGAGGAGAGUGACGUGACGGCAUUUUCGAAGACAGAGGCGAGUGAGCUUCCAUUGAAGAAGCUAGGGAGGCAGUUUGAUUUCACGGUGAGGCGUAAAUCCUCGGCGAUUGAGAUAUUGUCGGAGCAUCCGCAAGCACUUUUGCAAUCGAAGUUGCUCGCACUCGCUAAGAGGCAAGCAAUGAUGUUUGCUACACAAUCACCACCACCGCCUCCGUCGAUGGCGCAGGUUAAGACAAUACUACCGUCAACGACACGGUUAAAUUCGCCGCGGCCAACGCAGGCAGUGGCACGAGUAUUUAGGACUCGUCCGGUACAAUCGCUGCCUCCAAUAAUGCAGCAAGUCGUCAAGACAGAGCCUCCUAACUCGCAAUACAAUUCCACUAUGAGACAGAAGAAUGGUACUCCCAAGAAGCAAAAGCAAUGCAAUUGUAAGAAUUCUCGAUGUUUAAAAUUGUAUUGUGAAUGCUUUGCCUCUGGAAUUUAUUGUGAUGGAUGUAACUGUCAAAACUGUCAAAACAACAUAGAGAAUGAAGUCAAUAGGAAGAUUGCACUCAGUGCAAUCUUGGAACGGAAUCCAAAUGCCUUCAGACCAAAGAUCACUAGCAGCCCUCAGGGACUAAAGAAUGGUGUGGUGGAAGUUGGUGAAGAUUCGCCUUCAGGAAAACACAAUAGAGGAUGCAAUUGCAAGAAAUCUGGAUGUCUCAAGAAGUACUGUGAGUGUUUCCAGGCUAAUAUUCUUUGCUCUGGAAACUGUAAAUGUGCAGAUUGUAAGAAUUUUGAUGGAAGCAACGGGAAAAGCUCUCUUUUCCAUUGGGCUCAUACAAAUCUAGCUGCAUUCAUCCAAGCCCACGCACCUAUCAAUGGAGCUAUUAGUAAUUCUUGGUUUGUUCCUACACCACCUACAAAGAAAAGAAAGAAUGGGGAAAUGCCUUCAGGAGACAAUUCUACUGAUAAAUCCAAUAAGUUUUCACAAUCCCAACAGGAUGCCUCUUCUGGUCCACUGUGUGCUACACCAUAUGACUUUGCAAUCCAAUCAGUUCCAGAGUCAUCUAACUGCAAGUACAGGUCUUUGUUAGCUAGCAUCAUCCAAUUGCAAAAUGUUGCGGAACUUUGCUCACUCUUGGUCACGCUAUCCAAAGAAGCUGCAAAGAUGCUAACAGAUGAUUUUCAAAAUCGAAGAGCAGUGUCUUCUGAGACACGGGCAUUGAUGUGUGACAACAGCCAUGACUUGGUCCCAGCAGCUGAAUUUGCAACUGGGAUUUCGGGUUGCAAUGCAAGGAUAAGUUUAAAUACAUCUUCCGGGGAUCACUUCAGCACUUUAUAUGCAGAACAAGAAAAGAUCAUCUUGACUACAUUCUGUAGUUUUCUUAACGAACUCGUCACUUAUGCAAGCAUAAAAGAAACAACUUUCUCACCACCGUCGAACGAAAAAUCAGGAAGUUGGCAACUUCCAACGGAGAAUGGUCAAUGUCCUGGCUAGGUUUGAGUGAUCUCUAGGUGGUUUCUCACUUUCUUGCAGAUCGUUGAUAGCUUUAUGAAUCAAGGUGGCUGUAGUGGCAUGUUGUAAAUACAGAGCUAAAUGGAUCCAUUAACACAGCCAUCUUGCCAUGCCUGUAGAAUAUUACUGGUUGUGGUUCAGUAAUACCUGUGCUCCAGUUUGCAGUCGUUUGAAGAAUCAGUUCUUAGAAAAGGCCAUUUUGGGGAGCGAGCUAACUGCUAGUACUCGGCUUGUCACGCCAUAAACUUUGUGGCUCAUGCAACUAGUUUACACUUUACAGGAACCUUCAU
Ipomoea nil (Japanese morning glory) is the source of this 1993-nucleotide RNA transcript. It is a transcript of the gene named protein tesmin/TSO1-like CXC 6, with no coding region annotated. The record is from RefSeq and is a predicted model, not a curated record. NCBI's taxonomy places the organism in Eukaryota, Viridiplantae, Streptophyta, Magnoliopsida, Solanales, Convolvulaceae. The transcript has 9 exons.